UAACCUUGUUCAUGGCGCCUCUACGU
RNAcentral lists this non-coding RNA (26 nucleotides) under Homo sapiens (human). The record is from RNAcentral. Lineage: Eukaryota; Metazoa; Chordata; Mammalia; Primates; Hominidae.